UGGGGAAUAUUGCACAAUGGGGGAAACCCUGAUGCAGCGACGCCGCGUGAGCGAAGAAGGUUUUCGAAUCGUAAAGCUCUGUCCUAUGAGAAGAUAAUGACGGUAUCAUAGGAGGAAGCCCCGGCUAAAUACGUGCCAGCAGCCGCGGUAAUACGUAUGGGGCGAGCGUUGUCCGGAAUUAUUGGGCGUAAAGGGUACGUAGGCGGUCUAUUAAGUCAGGUGUGAAAGCGUGAGGCUUAACCUCAUUAAGCACUUGAAACUGAUAGACUUGAGUGAAGGAGAGGAAAGUGGAAUUCCUAGUGUAGCGAUGAAAUGCGUAGUUAUUAGGAGGAAUACCGGUGGCGAAGGCGACUUUCUGGACUUUUACUGACGCUCAGGUACGAAAGCGUGGGGAGCAAACAGG
This 403-nucleotide ribosomal RNA is filed under the name Verrucomicrobiota bacterium. RNAcentral's name for it is "Verrucomicrobia bacterium partial 16S ribosomal RNA". It matches the Rfam family "Bacterial small subunit ribosomal RNA", at positions 355 to 776 of the family's 1533-position model. The record is from RNAcentral. Lineage: Bacteria; Pseudomonadati; Verrucomicrobiota.